RNAcentral lists this transfer RNA (74 nucleotides) under Candidatus Levyibacteriota bacterium. Its description in RNAcentral is "tRNA-Val". It matches the Rfam family "tRNA". Rfam says of the family: Transfer RNA (tRNA) molecules are approximately 80 nucleotides in length. Lineage: Bacteria; Candidatus Levyibacteriota. The record is from RNAcentral.
GGACUCCUAGCUCAGCUGGUCAGAGCGCCUCGUUUACACCGAGGAGGUCAGAGGUUCGAACCCUCUGGAGUCCA